ACAGACACUGUGGCUCAGCAUAAGACCAUGUAGAACAGGGGUCUCCAACCCUGUUCCUGGAGAGCUACCCUCCUGUACACUGAAAAAAUGGGACAAGGUGGACUGUCAGAUUUACGAAAACAUAUUAUGUGUGAUUUACUCAAACAUGUUUUGUUUCUCAACGUGAUUUCAUUACUUGCAAUCAAUGCAACACGAAGCAAAAUGGGAUCUACUAGUUUGAAGCAUGUAGGGGGAGUGUGAACCAAUAAAGUUAAUUCAUGACGAGUAAUCAGGAAUCAAGCUGCGCAAGAGAAGAAUCUUCCAGAAAGAAGGCUGGCAUGUUAGCAGAGAAGACAUUACCUAGAAUCUUGGUCAAGGAGAAUUCAUCAUCCCAUCAAUGCAGCAGAACUCAUCAUCCAUCCCUGCAGCAGAACUCAUCAUCCAUCCCUGCAGCAGAACUCAUCAUCCAUCAAUGCAGCAGAACUCAUCAUCCAUCAAUGCAGCAGAACUCAUCAUCCAAAAAUGCAGCAGAACUCAUCAUCCAUCAAUGCAGCAGAACUCAUCAUCCAUCAAUGCAGCAGAACUCAUCAUCCAUCCCUGCAGCAGAACAAAAGGCUUGAAUACUGUGCAGGCAGGCACACUGGACUUGGCCAGUACACAACACAAAAACGAUUUAAUCUGGCCCUGAACCUAGUCAUAAACCCUGUUUAUACCUGGUUCUAGCAUGUAUCCUUUGUCCUGAUCUUGUCCAUAUUCUGAUUAUGCCCACAUUUUCAGACAGGUGUAGACUAUUAAAAGAUACAUUAUGAUCUGAUAGUGAUCGGAUAUUGCAAGUGUAAACGGACAAGAUCAGGACAAUAUCAGGACAAAGGAACCAUGUAUAAACAGGGAUUUUAAAUAAGAAUCAUGUUCAAUGGAGAUUCACCAUUGAAAGUGGUUCUUAGUCCAAAAGACUAGAUUUAACCUGUGUCUGCGAAUCCGUCUCGUACAGUUUAGGAUUCAACAUUUUCUUUUUUUCAACAACAUUGAAAACAUUUAAUUAAAACAUUAGUUGGAUGUGAAAGCCCUAUUAUUAACGUACAUAUGAGAGAAUUUACAUUGAGCCAGACAAUCCUUUGCCAAAAAAAACAUUAAAUCAUCUCCCUAA
This is a long non-coding RNA of Oncorhynchus kisutch (coho salmon), 1126 nucleotides long. RefSeq lists it as uncharacterized. The transcript has 2 exons. The record is from RefSeq and is a predicted model, not a curated record. Lineage: Eukaryota; Metazoa; Chordata; Actinopteri; Salmoniformes; Salmonidae.